RNAcentral lists this ribosomal RNA (250 nucleotides) under uncultured bacterium. Its description in RNAcentral is "partial 16S ribosomal RNA". It matches the Rfam family "Bacterial small subunit ribosomal RNA", at positions 524 to 773 of the family's 1533-position model. The record is from RNAcentral.
UACGUAGGGGGCAAGCGUUGUCCGGAAUGAUUGGGCGUAAAGGGCGCGUAGGCGGCCGACUAAGUCUGGAGUGAAAGUCCUUCUUUUAAGGAGGGAAUUGCUUUGGAAACUGGCUGGCUUGAGUGCAGGAGAGGUUAGUGGAAUUCCCGGUGUAGCGGUGAAAUGCGUAGAGAUCGGGAGGAACACCAGUGGCGAAGGCGACUAACUGGACUGUAACUGACGCUGAGGCGCGAAAGUGUGGGGAGCAAAC